Non-coding RNA from Oryctolagus cuniculus (rabbit), 4623 nucleotides. The record is from RefSeq and is a predicted model, not a curated record. NCBI's taxonomy places the organism in Eukaryota, Metazoa, Chordata, Mammalia, Lagomorpha, Leporidae.
GCGCCGGGUUCCGGGGUGGCCCCUGCUGCGGGCCCCGCGCCCUCCGGAGCCCGGCCGGCACCCCCUUCCUGCCUCCCGCGGGCCGCCCCGCCAGACUCCUCCUCCCUCGGAGGCCGGCGCCGGGCGAGAGGAGCCCGCGGGCUCAGGCGCCCUGAGGCCGCCGGCUGCCAAGAGCGCCCGGGAGGUAGAAUGUCUCUGCCAAGGGCAUCCCUUCCCAAAGCUGGGGCUCCGGAGCAGAGACAAGCACCCCUGUCCCCUCGCCGUUCCACCUGAGACCCCCCCUCCCCCACGAAGGGGUAAGAACGAUGAGACAGCGAGCCAGGGACCAGUGGGAAGACGUGGCAGGGUUUGAGGAGGGCAAUCAGUUGAGAGCUGUGGUGGUGAGGGGAUCAAAAGUUGUGGCAAACAGUUCUCUAAGUGUAGGAGAGGAGACUGGAGCAUUGCUGCCGGCUACGCAGGUGAGCCCGGCUGCACAUACCGAAGAGGCGUCGUAAUCCUUAAAAUCACCUGUCCACCUGCCUUCCAGAUACAAGAACACAAAAUGAUUCAAAAUUGAUGAUCCAAGAACAGCUCACAGUGAAUCCUGAAGCUACAAAUGGCCUUACAGUCCACACACCUACAAUGCUUUGGAGAAGACAGGUGGAACAGGAAAUAAGACCACCUUCCAUAGCUGGCUUGUAUGUCAGUGAAGAAGAUUGCCUCUGAGCAAGAGUGAGUCUUGCAACUUCCUGGGUGCUAGAGGACAGUAACAGAUUACAUCAAACUUCAGAACUUCUCAAAUAUCUAGUUAUUAUACACAUUCCCAUCUGUCUUGCAGGGAAGAAUCUUGGCUGGCUUAACAGUUGCAGGUUAAUGCCAUUUGACAUCCACUCACUGGAAAAACAAUAUCCUCUAAAAAAUUGAUAAAUUAUUUAAAACCUCAUUAAAGAUUUAAUAGGAUGCUGAGUGCUUAAAUACACUGUUUCACAAAUACUCUACACAGUCUAUAGAAUUCUUCAGUUUGAUAAAAUGAGAAAAAUAAAUUAUUUGACAGCAAGAUACAGAGAGGGAGUUCUUAUCUGCUGGUUCACAUCCUAAAUGUAUACAACAGCUGGGGCUGAGUUGGGCCAAAGUAGAGAACCAGAAACUCAAUCCAGGUCUCCUAUAUUGGUGGCAGGAAUCCAACUACUUCAGCCAUCAACUACUGCUUCCAAGGGUGUGCAUCAGCAGUAAGGUGAAAUUGGGAGCAGAAUUGGAACUCAAACCCAGGCUCUAGGACAUGGAAUGCAGACAUCCCAAAUAGCAUCCUAACUGCUAGAACAAAUAUCCACCCUUGGAAUUUCUGUAGAAGUAAAAAUUGCAUUUUUUUCUUGCUUAUGCUAACUAAAUAUUUCAUGCUAAUACUAUAACAUAUAUAUCACAUACCUGAUGUUAAAGAGUUUAAGCUGUUUUAUUAUUCACUGUUUGUAGCCACCUAGAAACUAAUAAUAAGGCAGGGGUAGGCCUACUUUUUAUUGUAAAGGGCUAGAGAGUAAAUAUUCUAAGAUUUGCAGCCAUGUACAUUUCUAGUUUUGUUUGUUUUUUAAGCAAUUUUUUUUUUUUUUUUGACAGGCAGAGUUAGAGAGAGACAAAGAAAAAGGUCUUCCUUUUUCUGUUGGUUCAUCCCCCAAAUGGCCACCACGGCCGAUCCCAAGCCAGGAGCCAGGCGCUUCUUCCUGGUCUCCCAUGCUGGUGCAGGGCCCAAGGACCUGGCCCAUCCUCCUGUGCUUUCCCGGGCCACAGCAGAGAGCUGGACUGGAAGAGAAGCAACCAGGACAGAAUCCGGCGCCCCGGAUGGGACUAGAACCCAGGGUGCCAGCACCACAGGCAGAGGAUUAGCCAAGUGAGCUGUGGUGCCGGCCUUUAAGCAACCUCUGAAAAUGUAAACCACUUAUCAAGCCAUAUAAAAAUAGGGCUAUCAAUGGCCAAUCCUUGAGGCAUGGCAACAUCAUAAAACAUUUUCAAAUAACUGAUGACAAAAAUUCAAGUUUUAAAAUUUUUAAGACAGAUCUAUUACUACCAUUAUUUAUUAAUAUUUACUUCUAGGUCAUAGCUCAGUUAACAGAUAGCUAGCUGCUUCAUAUAAAUCUUUAAAAGUUCAAAGUAUGUUUCCCCAGAUCUUAAAUCUAUUUUAACAUGUUAUGUGUACACACUGCACAUACACACAAUCACUUGCCCUCCACAUGUACCUUACUUUCAAAAUAACUGAUCAAAAAUGUAUAUUCUGAAACCCAUGUCAUUGCCUGGACUUGGACUACAGUUUCAAUGUACAAAAAUAAUGCUGUCUCAUGUAAAAGACUCACUUCUUUAAAUAUACAACCAAACUUUAAUUAGGAGAGAAUGAGGCUGUGCUGUGGCUCAAUAGGCUAAUCCUCCGCCUGUGGCGCCGGCAUACCGGGUGCUAGCCCUGGUUGGGGUGCCGGAUUCUUUCCUGGUUGCCCCUCUUCCAGGCCAGUUCUGGCAGUGGAUGAUGGCCAAGUGCUUGGGCCCUGCACCCACAUGGGAGACCAGGAGAAGCACCUGGCUCCUGCCUUCGGAUCAGCACAGUGCGCCAGCCGCAGCGCGCCAGCCACAGCGGGCAUUGGAGGGUGAACCAACGGCAAAGGAAGACCUUUCUCUCUGUCUCUCUCACUGUCCACUCUGCCUGUUAAAAAAAAAAAAAAAGGAGAGAAUGAAUACUGGUAUAGGGAGAUGACCAACAAAUAUUAAAAACCUAAUGUGAGGGGCUGGUGCUGUUGGUAGUAGACUAAGCCUCCAUCUGCGGUGCUGGUAUACCAUAUGGGCACUGGUUCAUGUUCCAAACUCCUAUCUUCUAAUAUAAUGCUAUGCAUUUCCUAAAUGUUCCACCAGAGGGACCUCUUAACUAUUCACAAAUCAAAGUAAGCUUUCUUACCAAAAAGACUACAAAGAGCUCAACAGAAGCACUGGGGAGUUAGAAAACCAAUGUUUAAGUUAUUUAAAUGAAUUACGUUUAUUUAAACUUCCUCUGAAGGAGGAAAUGGGACAAAUAUUCAUAAAACCAGAAUAAAAUAUUUUAAAUCAGAAUCAAGAAAACAAAACAUCUCACUGAGGUUCAUUCACUCAUUUAAUGCCACCAAACAUUUACUUAAACUUAUUGUACUUUAAAUGUACUAGAAAUUAGGGCUAAAUUACAAUAUACCUGUAGAAAUUAAAUGCCUUCUUGGGAUCAUUUAUUUAUAAUUCCAAAAAUGUAGCUGUCUUGGUGGAAUCACAGUAAAAAUACAUGGAAUAUACAUUAGAUCAAUCUCUAUCAACAGAACACCUACAAUAUGCAUAAUAUUAUCAAUGUUUGAUAUCACAAUUUUUUACAAAUACCUUAACAUUUUAUUUCAAAAUUGUCUUCAUGUAUAGACAUCAUUAAAAAAUACACAUAGACUACAGAUUUUCCAUGGAAUAGAAGCUGGAAAUAAAAUUUAAGGGCAAUUAGGAGAAUUGUUAUCACUUUUGUACUGAGGUUUUUCCAUGUCUAUCCUAGCUAGAACACUGAUAAAAUGAAAUAGCCAGUUUUGGCUUAAGCAACUAUGAUAAAAUUUGUCACUCCAAAUUAGGAAGUAAUCUGGCAGCUUGUAAAAAAAAAAAAAAGUUUGGGCCCAGCACUACAGCAUAGCAGGUUAAGCUGCUCUCUGCAGUGCAGGCAUGCCGUAUAGGCUAUGGUUUGAGUCCCAAGUGCUCCAAUUCCAAUCCAGCUCUCUGCUAUAGCCUGGGAAAGCAGUAGAAGAUUGCCCAAGUUCUUCCGCACCUGCACCCACGUGGCAGACACAGAAGAAGCUCCUGGCUCCUGGCUUCGGAUUGGCAUGACUCUGACCGUUGUGGCCAAUUGGGGAGUGAAUCAGCGGAUGGAAGACCUUUCUCUCUCUCUCUGCCUCUCCUCUCUCUGUGUAACUUUGACUUUCAAAUAAAUAAAUCUUUAUUUAAAAAAAAGUAGAUUCCAGAGCAAAAAAUAUUUACCAGGAGUGAAGAUUUUCAUAAUAAAGGGAUCAAAAUAUCAAGAGAAUUUAACAACUAUAAAUGUACCUAAAAGCAGGACUUCAAAUUACAUGACACAAAAGCUGACAGAACUGCAAGAAGAAAUAGACAAAUCUGCAAUUGUAAUUAUAAAUUAUAGACUUCAAUACCCCUGCACCCGCGUGGGAGACCCAGAGAAAGUUCCUGGCUCCUGGCUUUGGAUUGAUGCAACUCUGACUGUUGUGGCCACUUGUGGAGUGAAACCAGUGGAUGGAAGACUGCUCUCUCUGCCUCUCCUUCUCUCUAUGUGUAACUCUUUCAAAUAAAUAAAUGAAUCUUAAAACAAAAACAGUAUUUAGAGGCCUGUAUUGUGAGGUAGCAGGUAAAGCUACUGUCUGUCAUACUGGCAUCACAUAUAGGUGCUGGUUUAAGUCCCAGCUGUUCUACUUCCUAUCCAGUUCCCUCUUUAUGUGCCUGAGAUACAGCAGAAGAUGGCUCUAGUGGCUGGGCCCCUGCUACCCACAUAGAAGACCCAGAAAGAAGCACCUGGCUCAAGGCUUGGGACCAGCCCAACUCAGGCCAUUGUGGCCAUUUGGGGGGUGAACCAGCAAAUGGAAGAUCUCCUCCUCUCUCUCUCAA